RNAcentral lists this ribosomal RNA (208 nucleotides) under uncultured bacterium. RNAcentral describes it as "partial 16S ribosomal RNA". It matches the Rfam family "Bacterial small subunit ribosomal RNA", at positions 568 to 775 of the family's 1533-position model. The record is from RNAcentral.
CUCGUAGGCGGCCAACUAAGUCGGAUGUGAAAUCCCCAGGCUUAACCUGGGAACUGCAUCCGAUACUGGAUGGCUUGAAUCCGGGAGAGGGAUGCAGAAUUCCAGGUGUAGCGGUGAAAUGCGUAGAUAUCUGGAGGAAUACCGGUGGCGAAGGCGGCAUCCUGGACCGGCAUUGACGCUGAGGAGCGAAAGCUAGGGGAGCGAAACG